This 593-nucleotide ribosomal RNA is filed under the name Microbacterium sp. 25AAV. RNAcentral's name for it is "bacterial SSU rRNA". It matches the Rfam family "Bacterial small subunit ribosomal RNA", at positions 73 to 679 of the family's 1533-position model. Lineage: Bacteria; Bacillati; Actinomycetota; Actinomycetes; Micrococcales; Microbacteriaceae. The record is from RNAcentral.
GGAGAGCUUGCUCUCCGGAUCAGUGGCGAACGGGUUGAGUAACACGUGAGCAAUCUGCCCCUGACUCUGGGAUAAGCGUUGGAAACGACGUCUAAUACCGGAUACGAGCUGCGAAGGCAUCUUCAGCAGCUGGAAAGAACUUCGGUCAGGGAUGAGCUCGCGGCCUAUCAGCUAGUUGGUGAGGUAAUGGCUCACCAAGGCGUCGACGGGUAGCCGGCCUGAGAGGGUGACCGGCCACACUGGGACUGAGACACGGCCCAGACUCCUACGGGAGGCAGCAGUGGGGAAUAUUGCACAAUGGGCGCAAGCCUGAUGCAGCAACGCCGCGUGAGGGACGACGGCCUUCGGGUUGUAAACCUCUUUUAGCAGGGAAGAAGCGAAAGUGACGGUACCUGCAGAAAAAGCACCGGCUAACUACGUGCCAGCAGCCGCGGUAAUACGUAGGGUGCAAGCGUUAUCCGGAAUUAUUGGGCGUAAAGAGCUCGUAGGCGGUUUGUCGCGUCUGCUGUGAAAACCCGAGGCUCAACCUCGGGCCUGCAGUGGGUACGGGCAGACUAGAGUGCGGUAGGGGAGAUUGGAAUUCCUGGUGUAGC